GACGAACGCUGGCGGCGUGCUUAACACAUGCAAGUCGAACGGAAAGGCCCUGCUUUUGUGGGGUGCUCGAGUGGCGAACGGGUGAGUAACACGUGAGUAACCUGCCCUGGACUUUGGGAUAACUUCAGGAAACUGGGGCUAAUACCGGAUAGGAGCUCCUGCUGCAUGGUGGGGGUUGGAAAGUUUCGGCGGUUGGGGAUGGACUCGCGGCUUAUCAGCUGGUUGGUGGGGUAGUGGCUUACCAAGGCUUUGACGGGUAGCCGGCCUGCGUGGGUGACCGGCCUCAUUUGGACUGCGAUACGGCCCAGACUCCUACGGGCGGCAGCAGUCGGGAAUAUUGCACAAUGGGCGGAAGCCUGUUGCAGCAACGCCGCGUGCGGGAUGACGGCCUUCGGGUUGUAAACCGCUUUCGCCUGUGACGAAGCGUGAUUGACGGUAAUGGGUAAAGAAGCACCGGCUAACUACGUG
Molecule: ribosomal RNA, 468 nt
Filed under: uncultured bacterium
Lineage: Bacteria
Description: partial 16S ribosomal RNA
Rfam family: Bacterial small subunit ribosomal RNA
Source: RNAcentral